UGAGAACUUUGGGAUCCACUGAGGUCUGAGGCAUGGUGGUUCCAGAAGAAAUAAAGGGGCCAUUAGCAUGGAACUGGUCCCCCACGGACAGCACUCUGACUUCUCCGUCAGGCUCUAUCAACAUGUCUAUGCUCACAGUCUAUAGUGCAGACACUUGUGGACCCUACCACCAAAUGAGUGAACAAAAUGUGCCUGAAGAUCUUCCUCAAAGACCGAGCCAAGUACAAACUCAGCCCUUUCCUCGCGUGCUCUCUUCAUUCCCACCCGUCCACUCUACAGUUGUGUGCUCUACUCUCAAGAAUUGAUGGGAAGUUUAAAGAAUGACAGACAGAAUCUUGCUAUGAAACCCAGUCUGAUUUCAAAUUCUCAAUCCUCCUGCCUCCCCAUUCUCAAUGCUGGUAUUACAAUAAAUACAACAAAUGAUGACAGACAGAACUCACUUAAGUUAUUUAGGGUCUUCAAGUAUCACUUUAACUAUAAAGGGGUCCUGAAGCAAAAAUGUCUGAGAACCACUGAUCAGACUUCAAUGUUUUAAAGGCAAUAGUGAAGGAUUACAAAGAAUAGAUCUUUAUGCAGUAUACUACAUUUAUUUUAAAGCCUAUCCUAAUAUCAGUCCAUUUAAUGACAUUUCUGUGAGCUGGUGCCACUUGGAACCCACUUCAGUGCUAUUCCUAUGUAUUCUGGUUCAGUUUUGUGCAGCUCAAGACCAGCUUUUAUCCUCAUAUUAUGGAGUCCUUUGGCCAACUCUGAUCAAAUCUGUGGGUGAGUGCUGACCUGCAUCACUUGUUUGACCGCAACAUAGAAGAAUAUAAAUGUUUUAAAUUUGAGUUUGUGCUGAAAAGAAAGUAAAUGCUUCAUGCUCUUUGUCUUAUUGUAAAGACCUGGCUAUCUCUAGGAAAGGCCACUGAGGAGGUCUGUGCUUCCUUCUGACCUGAGGCUCCAGUAUGGCACCUCUACGGAUGCCACACUGCCUGGCAAAACAUAUGUUGACGCCAGCAAAGACUAGGUGGAAAGUUUCAACUUCCUGUCUCAAAGUAUAAGGAACAAAAUCCAUCGAAUCUUUGAGUUGGUAACUAAAAAAUGAGAGUAGAAAGGCGCCAGUGUGCUUAGAGGCACCGUGCAGACUGACCUUCCGUCUGCGCCCGUGGGAGGAGUAGUACACCUGCCUUUCGCACAGGGGACUCCGCCCGCCCCAACUCCUGGAUUGGGAAAUAAAGCAACUGCAGUUAGGAAGCAACCUUCCCAUCAGCCUUUGGAGUAUCCUAUGGUCUUCUGCACACCAAAGUCUUCCUAUCUUUUCCUUUAGGCUUUUGCAAUAGUGCAGGACAGCUAAAGAAUGCUGUCCAUGAACUUGACAAAAUCAGUAUUCACAAUUUCUAUGGAAUGGAGUAUUUUGGAGCCCCCUGGUUGUGUUAACACCAAAGAUAGUUUGCUGAACUAAUGCCCAGAGGAAAAAAAUAAAACCAUGUACAUUAUUUUUAGCCAUUAAAUCAGGUGGCUAGCUGGCAAUGAGAUAAAGUAUUACAUGGAGAAGAGGAGAAAACAAAGCGGCUUCAGCGUGUCUUCUAUUUGCAAUCUAAAAGAAGAGAAAAGGAGGAACUCACAGUGGCCCCCGAUUUCAGCUGAAACCUCUGAGCUCAGUACUUGGAAUAUCCCGCCUAAUGUCAAUAUAUGUUUAAAAUGCCACCAAAUUUAGAAAAAUUAAAAAAAAAAAAACACCUGAAUUUAAGAAUAGCCUGUGCCCGUUGAUGCCCCUCACGCUAUGACUCUCUUCAGACAGAAAAGGGAUCUUGGAACUACAGCCACCAUUGUUACUGCCAUCUCAUUGGCGGCUGUUGGAGCUACCACCGCGGCAUUAGCCAUGAGUCAUACUGGGCAGACUGCUCAGACCCUGAAUAAUCAUUUAGCCAAUGUAGCUCAUGCCUUAGUUGUACAAAAAGGAAUUAAUGCUCAACUAAAAGGAAGCUUGAUGGUGUUCAAUCAGAGGAUUGACCUCGUGCAGGAGCAAAUUGAUACCCUAUGGCAAAUUGCUCAACUUGGUUGUCAAUGAAAAUAUGCUGGACUUUGAGUCACUAGCAUAUAACAUGAGAAUUUUUCCUGUGCUGCAAAUCUGUCUAAACAAUUGUCGAGCUAUAUUUUAGGUAAUUGGACUGG
Molecule: long non-coding RNA, 2154 nt
Organism: Meriones unguiculatus (Mongolian gerbil)
Lineage: Eukaryota; Metazoa; Chordata; Mammalia; Rodentia; Muridae
Exons: 3
Source: RefSeq, a predicted model, not a curated record